This 116-nucleotide small nuclear RNA is filed under the name Sarcophilus harrisii (Tasmanian devil). RNAcentral's name for it is "U5 spliceosomal RNA (ENSSHAG00000021747.1)". It matches the Rfam family "U5 spliceosomal RNA". Rfam says of the family: U5 RNA is a component of both types of known spliceosome. The precise function of this molecule is unknown, though it is known that the 5' loop is required for splice site selection and p220 binding, and that both the 3' stem-loop and the Sm site are important for Sm protein binding and cap methylation. Lineage: Eukaryota; Metazoa; Chordata; Mammalia; Dasyuromorphia; Dasyuridae. The record is from Rfam by way of RNAcentral.
AUACUCUGGUUUCUCUUCAGAUCGUAUAAAUCUUUCGCCUUUUACUAAAGAUUUCCGUGGAGAGGAACAAUUAUGAGUUGUUAACCAAUUUUUUGAGGCCUCACUCCGGUGAGGCU